UGACGGUACCUGCAGAAAAAGCGCCGGCUAACUACGUGCCAGCAGCCGCGGUAAUACGUAGGGCGCAAGCGUUAUCCGGAAUUAUUGGGCGUAAAGAGCUCGUAGGCGGUUUGUCGCGUCUGCUGUGAAAUCCCGAGGCUCAACCUCGGGCCUGCAGUGGGUACGGGCAGACUAGUGUGCGGUAGGGGAGAUUGGAAUUCCUGGUGUAGCGGUGGAAUGCGCAGAUAUCAGGAGGAACACCGAUGGCGAAGGCAGAUCUCUGGGCCGUAACUGACGCUGAGGAGCGAAAGGGUGGGGAGCAAACAGGCUUAGAUACCCUGGUAGUCCACCCCGUAAACGUUGGGAACUAGUUGUGGGGACCAUUCCACGGUUUCCGUGACGCAGCUAACGCAUUAAGUUCCCCGCCUGGGAGUACGGCCGCAAGGCUAAAACUCAAAGGAAUUGACGGGGACC
RNAcentral lists this ribosomal RNA (453 nucleotides) under uncultured bacterium. RNAcentral describes it as "bacterial SSU rRNA". It matches the Rfam family "Bacterial small subunit ribosomal RNA", at positions 470 to 921 of the family's 1533-position model. The record is from RNAcentral.